GUACACUCCUACGGGAGGCAGCAGUGGGGAAUUUUGGACAAUGGGCGCAAGCCUGAUCCAGCCAUGCCGCGUGCGGGAAGAAGGCCUUCGGGUUGUAAACCGCUUUUGUCAGGGAAGAAAAGGUUCUGGCUAAUACCUGGGACUCAUGACGGUACCUGAAGAAUAAGCACCGGCUAACUACGUGCCAGCAGCCGCGGUAAUACGUAGGGUGCAAGCGUUAAUCGGAAUUACUGGGCGUAAAGCGUGCGCAGGCGGUUAUGCAAGACAGAGGUGAAAUCCCCGGGCUCAACCUGGGAACUGCCUUUGUGACUGCAUGGCUAGAGUACGGUAGAGGGGGAUGGAAUUCCGCGUGUAGCAGUGAAAUGCGUAGAUAUGCGGAGGAACACCGAUGGCGAAGGCAAUCCCCUGGACCUGUACUGACGCUCAUGCACGAAAGCGUGGGGAGCAAACAGGAUUAGAAACCCCGGUAGUCC
RNAcentral lists this ribosomal RNA (473 nucleotides) under uncultured organism. Its description in RNAcentral is "partial 16S ribosomal RNA". It matches the Rfam family "Bacterial small subunit ribosomal RNA", at positions 331 to 796 of the family's 1533-position model. The record is from RNAcentral.